This 465-nucleotide ribosomal RNA is filed under the name uncultured bacterium. RNAcentral describes it as "partial 16S ribosomal RNA". It matches the Rfam family "Bacterial small subunit ribosomal RNA", at positions 338 to 795 of the family's 1533-position model. The record is from RNAcentral.
CCUACGGGCGGCAGCAGUGGGGAAUAUUGCGCAAUGGGCGAAAGCCUGACGCAGCGACGCCGCGUGAGGGAUGAAGGUUUUCGGAUCGUACACCUCUGUCAGAAGGGAAGAAGUUGCAUGGGACCAAUCACAUGUGCAUUGACGGUACCUUCAAGGGAAGCACCGGCUAACUACGUGCCAGCAGCCGCGGUAAUACGGAGGGUGCGAGCGUUAAUCGGAAUUACUGGGCGGAAAGCGCACGUAGGCUGUAUGUCAAGUUAAGGGUGAAAUCCCACGGCUAAACCGUGGAACUGCAUUUGAGACUGGCAAACUAGAGUGUGUCAGAGGGCGGCGGAAUUCCUGGUGUAGGAGUGAAAUCCGUAGAUAUCAGGAGGAACAUCAGUGGCGAAGGCGGCCGCCUGGCACAAAACUGACGCUGAGGUGCGAAAGCGUGGGUAGCAAACAGGAUUAGAUACCCCAGUAGUC